GACUCAAUCCCCGGACCUGGGAUCACGCCCUGGGAUCACACCUCUACCACUGAGCCACGCAGGAAAGGAAUCCUGCCAACAAUUCCAUGUGGUUAUUUGGGAAACAGAGCCUUCCCUAGGCGAGCCUUCAGAGGAGACCCAGCUUUGAUGGAUGCCUUGCCUGCAGCCUUGUGGGAGACUGUGAAGCAGAAGACUCAGUGAAGCCUUACCAUAGGCAAUUUAUAGCACUGACCUCUAUCAGUGCCUCUCACUGACUUUGAUGUGAAGAUGAUUUUUCCUGCAGUUACUCUUUCUACAAAAUUAAAAAUGUUGAGCAUAAAGAAAUAACAUUCACAGUUUUACAUUGACUUACUGAUUUCCUGUGGUUUUUCCAUCCACCACACUACCUGAAAGUUUUUGCUUUUGAGCAGUGUUUUCUUCUGUUUGACAUGCAAAAAAGCUAAAGGGAAUUACCCAAGGACCCUUCCAAGCACAUUCUUGGAUGAAUUGUCCUGUGAGAAGCUGAGGUGAGGAGAAGCUGGAAGUAGAACUGGGGAGAGCUUGAAUAAAUUGUCUCUCUUUUGAUGGGAAGAAUAAACCUAAUUCUUGUUCAGUCAUAUGAGAUUUUAUUUAUUUAUUCAUGAGAGACACACAGAGAGAGGCAGAGACACAGGCAGAGGAUGCAGGACCCCAUCCCAGGACCCCAGGAUCACGACCUGAGCCAAAGGCUGAUGCUCAACCACUGAGCCCACCCAGGGGCCCCGAUUUUCUGCAGAAUGAUGUUUAUGAGACUAACCAAACUACCUUCCAGAUGGCUUCUAUCUACCACAGUCUUCCUCCCCUGUGUAAGAGAAUGCAAGUAGAUGCUGAUGUUUGAAGCAAGAACGUUCAAGAAUUGCUGCCUGACUUUUAACCCAAGGAUUGGAAUGGCAUUUUACUUGGCUCUGGGGAUACAAGGCUGAAUAAGGCAUGGUUCCUGCCUUUCCAGUGCCAAUAACCCUUGGAGAAAGAAAAUAGACAAACAUGAACACUAUACAAUAUGACAUGUAUGCCAGUCGAGAGAGCUAUUCAUCUCAUUGUCAGAGAUUUCCAGUAAAAGUCAUAGUAAGAAUCAAAUGUAAUCCCCUAAGUACACUCACAACAAGUUAGCUCCAGCCAUGCCAGAAAUUCUCAGUGGAAUUCCAACUCAAGUGUUGUGUGUGAUCAAUCCAACAGGUUAGGAAAUUGAGACCCGGGAAGAUGAAAGUGAUUUUCCCGAGCACAUACCUCAUUAUCCUUCUCCUCAUCACAGCAGCAAACAGUGCUUGCCUCGUGCCAACUACUGAUCUAGAAGGACUGACUGGCUGUGAAUAUCUCUUGGCUAUCUGAAAAAUCAAAUCAGUCAUUAAAAGACCAAGUGUUACCACGGAAGAGGUAAAAAAAAAUGAGGUGCUGACUCUGAAAAACAUACCCAGGGGAGAACGGCUAACUGUUCAGAAUAUUGGCUGGAACGAGUGAAUGAUUUGCUCAUCAUUAGCCAGAAGCUGGAGAGAGGUGGAUAUAUGGCUACUGGACUCAGUUGAGAGAUACCAUGCAAGAGGAGAAGAAGCCUGACAGAUUUCGCAAGUUCUGACAGUUAUAGCAGCUUCACCUAUGGGGAGACUGGCUGGGCUAAGACAGGAAGGACCCCUUCAGGAUGUGCAUUAUGGCUGCUGCUGCUGCUACUGAAUUUGAGGCAUGCCAUGCACCGCUUCUGCAGUGAUAGCUUUGUUUUUGCAAAGUGAAUGGAAUGGAGUUUGUGGGGAUGUAGAACGCAGGCACUGAGAAACCUACAUGAAUGUGUAAGAAUGACCACAAGGCACCAAACGCUAAUUAUGUUGAUGCAAUUCUAUCUGAUGUUCUACUCCUUAAAUAGGUCAUGUGGUUUCAUUGACAGAGGGGUAUGGUGAUUGCCCUUUGAGGGAGAGUCUUGGCCCAACUGAAGCAGACCUGGGUUUUCCCUCUAUUACAGUAGUCACACUGGCUUCUGAGAGAAGUGCUAACAAACAAUGAAACUCUUAUAACAGGACAUCCAUGGCAAGGACAUGGCGAACUCAAACUCUGAAGCACCAAGCCGGAUUCUCAUGGUCCGCGGGAUCAAGAUUAACAUCUGGACCCAAGGCAUUUUCAUUCAUCAUUCUUCCAAGGCAAUUGUGGUGCAGGCUGGAAUUUCUGUGACCUUAGUAAUGUGCAGACCCUUUUUUGCCAAAGACCUUUGAAGACUGCACCGGGUCUGGUCACUCCAGCGGGAUAGCCGAAUGCACCAACCCUUUUCUGGAACGCGUCGAGAGCCUUGCGGCCAAGCACUCGCGGGCGGGGAAGGUGGCGCCCCCCGCCCCCG
Long non-coding RNA from Canis lupus familiaris (dog), 2338 nucleotides. RefSeq lists it as uncharacterized. Lineage: Eukaryota; Metazoa; Chordata; Mammalia; Carnivora; Canidae. The record is from RefSeq and is a predicted model, not a curated record. The transcript has 16 exons.